UCCCUGGAGGACUAGUGGUUAGGCCACACCGCUCUCACCGCUGUGGCUCGGGUUCACUUCCAAACCAGGGAA
RNAcentral lists this transfer RNA (72 nucleotides) under Pangasius djambal. RNAcentral describes it as "tRNA-Glu". It matches the Rfam family "tRNA". Rfam says of the family: Transfer RNA (tRNA) molecules are approximately 80 nucleotides in length. Lineage: Eukaryota; Metazoa; Chordata; Actinopteri; Siluriformes; Pangasiidae. The record is from RNAcentral.